RNAcentral lists this unclassified non-coding RNA (266 nucleotides) under plant metagenome. RNAcentral describes it as "partial contains small subunit ribosomal RNA, internal transcribed spacer 1, and 5.8S ribosomal RNA". The record is from RNAcentral.
UUUCCGUAGGUGAACCUGCGGAAGGAUCAUUAUCGUACAAAAUGUGAGGGUCAUGCGAGGGCUGUCGCUGACCCAAAAGUCGUACACGCCCGAGUGUGUCCUCUUGCAUAAUAAUCCAUCUCACCCUUUGUGCAUUACCGCGUGGACAUCCUUCGGGAUCAUCUCGGAGGGGGGCUCGCGUUUUCACACAAACCCCCCUUUAAAAGUGCAGAAUGACCACAUUUAUGCAAUCAAUACAACUUUCAACAACGGAUCUCUUGGCUCUC